GAGCAGCACGCCGCGUGGAGGAUGACACUUUUCGGAGCGUAAACUCCUUUUGUUAGGGAAGAAUAAUGACGGUACCUAACGAAUAAGCACCGGCUAACUCCGUGCCAGCAGCCGCGGUAAUACGGAGGGUGCAAGCGUUACUCGGAAUCACUGGGCGUAAAGGACGCGUAGGCGGAUUAUCAAGUCUCUUGUGAAAUCCUAUGGCUUAACCAUAGAACUGCUUGGGAAACUGGUAAUCUAGAGUGAGGGAGAGGCAGAUGGAAUUGGUGGUGUAGGGGUAAAAUCCGUAGAGAUCACCAGGAAUACCCAUUGCGAAGGCGAUCUGCUGGAACUCAACUGACGCUAAUGCGUGAAAGCGUGGGGAGCAAACA
RNAcentral lists this ribosomal RNA (371 nucleotides) under Campylobacter concisus. RNAcentral describes it as "bacterial SSU rRNA". It matches the Rfam family "Bacterial small subunit ribosomal RNA", at positions 386 to 774 of the family's 1533-position model. The record is from RNAcentral. Lineage: Bacteria; Pseudomonadati; Campylobacterota; Epsilonproteobacteria; Campylobacterales; Campylobacteraceae.